This 6293-nucleotide long non-coding RNA is filed under the name Hordeum vulgare. RNAcentral's name for it is "long non-coding RNA (HVUL_LNC005894)". The record is from RNAcentral. Lineage: Eukaryota; Viridiplantae; Streptophyta; Magnoliopsida; Poales; Poaceae.
ACAUACCUUGAGAGCCAGCAAGCCGAAGGUACAGGUUGCCACCAAGCAUACCGGCCUUCUCAGAGUCAACAAGCUCCCCUGUCCAGAUCAAGCAUCUUGACGGGCCACCGGUUGCGACGAUACUGCUCAGGUUGGUGUAAGCAUACGCGGUGCAGGAGCAGUCACGCUCACAAUCAGCGGUGCACUCCUCGAAGCUUCUGUUCCUCACAUACACAAACUUGUCAGGCACCUUCAUCUCCGGCAAAGUCAAGAAAUGGUCACCACGGCAUGUCAGGUUCUCCUUUCUCACGCAUCCUCUGGAGGGGAUAGCGCCGAAGCCAUCUGCCGGCUGGAACCCAUCCAGGCACCUGCAGAUCUUGUCGAACAUGUCGCAGUACCCGAACGGACCACAUGAACCGUAGCGGCGGCAGCCAGAAUCUGGGCGCUUGAACAGAGGCAUCCAUGACUGGCCGCUCCAGAUCCUCAGCAUCAAGUCGCCAUUGUAGUCCAGCUUCCAGUGCGACCUCCGGGCGGAGCUGUUGCCCGUGUUGUACGUCGAGUAGAUGGUCUCCCCGUCAUCGACAAUCUGGGACCACAUGAACCCGUUCUUGUCUGAGGCUUCCGCACCAUUCCACAGCCCGCUGCGCCAGUACUUGCUUCUCCCGCGCAAGGUGAGGACCUGGAGGCCCGUGCCGGGAUCACGACUGAGGAAGAACAUCCCGGUGGACGGGUCCUGAGGACCCUUCCAAGCGACGAGGCGCACUGCUGUGUGUACCUUGUAGUUGGCCCAUAACUUGAAGCUGGGGAGGAUGGUGUCGGUCGGGUGAUCAUAGCUCUGCCAUAUCUGUGUGAAAUUGCGCAAUUGGAGGACAAAGUUCCCCGCCUCGAGCAGCAGCGCCACGGCCCCGUCACCGCCGGUGGUGAUGUUGUUCGUCGUCCUCCAGAGGACACGGCCUUUGGAGUCUGACAAGACGAGAUCAGAGGUGUUUGUCAGAACCAACUUCCCCGACAAACCGCUGCCGAUCGGGUUGUCGCGGUUGGCCACCCACACAUAUGUCCUCUCCGGGAUGUCGUGGUACCAUAUGCCUAAGUAAGAGUUUGCGGCCCUAGAGUUCUCUGGGUCCGAGGAGAAGAAGCCAAGAGCGAAAAUGCCAUUGUUUGAGACGAGCUUGUCGCCCGGCAAGAGUGGCUUCGCCGGUGUUAGGCGGUCAUCGGAUUUGCAUAAACAAAUCAACAGUAGGAGGGUGAAAAUGACAGGAAGGGUCUUGCCCAUUGAGACUUCUUCCACAUAUAUGCUUGUGAAAGAGCAAAGUAACAAGCUCACAGCAGCAUGAGUUUUACAACCACUUUUGGCGCAGGUAAUUUCAGGCUCAAGGAUAGGAAACAGCUGCAGAAAUUAACCGUGGGGAAUUAAAGAUCAAGAAGUACCAUAUAAACCGAUCGAGGAACUGUGUUCUUGCGGCUCUCAACCAUGGGGUUGACCGGACACCAGAGUCCGUCAAAGUCGUCAUGGGCAGAAAUAUUUUGCCAUAGUUGACAAGUGUACACAGAAGACGAAAGGAACGGGUUACCGUCAGGUGGAGCCCUGGCAGGGCAGUCGCUCGCAGCGAGGCGGGGAAGAUGGCCGGGAUAGAGCGGCGGAGGCUAGAAGGGGAAGGGGGCAGAGCUCGGGAGGGAGAGUGACGAUGGGAGAGGAAGUAGAGAAGCAGAGGGUGAGCCGCAAAUAAUAGCAACAUGUGCCACGGAAGAAUUCACCCAGUAAUUUUAUCUUCCAAGAGGAGUUCACCCAGUGAUAUGAAUGCAUAUAGCAGUAGGAACAGUUUACAGACAGCUACCACCCCACCCUGACCCUGAUCAAUGCAUGCUCCAGAGCCUGCAUCUCGCCAGUGUACUACACGCUGCAAGGUCAUUUCUAGGGCUGCUGCUCGCCACUGCAGUGUCUUCAAUCAUUGAUCAAGUCUUACGUAGACCUACGAUAACAACACCUACGAUCACACUUCACAGAUUUGGCCCACAAUAUAUAGUCCGCCGACGGCCAUCUCUCAUUUGCCAGCUUUCACAGCCUUUUCCACACAAAAAAAUCUUCAAAUUCAUAUAAUCUCAUACAACAUAGAUCAAAAGACGUACUUUAUAAUUCAUAUAAAUCAUACUACCUCUGUUCCUAAAUAUAAGUCUUUUAAGAAGUUUCACUAGACGACUACAUACGGAUGUAUAUAGACAAAUUUUAGAGUGUAGAUCCAUCCAUUUUGUUUUGUAUGUAGUCCUCUAAUAAAAUCUUUAAAAGACUUAUAUUUAAAAACGGAGGGAGUAGCACAUAGUUCAUAUAGCAUACGGUAGUUCAUCAUCACACGUCAUCAGACUAUCAAAAUUAGGCAUGUUCUAUUAGUAAAAUAGGGUUAUAGAGCAAGUUCGUCCACGAAUGCCCUUGCCCUCUUGGUCGCGAUGGUAGUGCUCCAAGAUGACAUAGUGGUUUGAGGCGGAUGUCCUUCUUCUCCUCUUUCUGGGGAGGGGGGGUGUCAAGGGCGCAGACGGACCAGCUUUGCUCCAGCAGGAAGGCACAUGCCUCCUGGGCUUGCCUCUUCACAAGGAUCCGGGCUCGGGGGUCAUCCAUGACCUUGUCUGAAGCGGCACACCUUUGCCCUCUCACGGUGGGCACACCGUGUCACGACUCGCUUUUUCUGCUAUAGUUGGGGCAUCCGGAGCAUGCAUGGUCAUGCACAUUGGAGCCAUUGACCUCAGGCUUAGAGCCCAGUGUCGUGGGAACAAGGACCUAGCAUCGGGGUUACUCGGAUAUCAUGCAACUGUCCUCAUAGGUGCGCAUAUACCUCCAACCAUUGCUCCAAAUCCAGAGCGGGCACAUGCCUCGAGCCACCGACAGGCGCAUUGCCACCACUGGAUCUAAGCCCCACCGGACCUGAAGCCUCCUCCCAGGACCGAUGGCGAGCCAGUCGGACAACUAUCUCUCCUUGUCUGUGAAGGGGGCGAGAUCCCAGUCGCUGGAUAGUUGCUGGAUCCAGUGUUGUUGGGCUCAUAUCCAAUGCCCGCCAUGCCAGAAAUGGCAGGAGAUCACCGGAGAGGUGUUGGGCGGAGCAGAAUGAAAGUGAAGUGAAAGUGCAAUGGCAAAUGGCCAAGGUUUGGUCAGGGGUGCACAUAGGGACAAGGUAUUUAUAGGAUCACGAUGGCCGGUCUGAUGUGACAGACGCGCCCGUGUGUGUCUGGACGACCCAAAAUCCACCAACAUAUGGGUUGAGCUUGAGGGUACCUGGACGACCAAUAUGUUUGUGUUGGGUUUGACGGGUCCAUUUGAGCGGGUUUUUUCUCGGCUGUCGGGGGGGGGGGGGGNGAAAUUCGUACAAACCAAAAUUUAUUUGGAUAACAUGAUAACUUCUAUGCGACCCUAUUCCUUAAUGGGAAAAUUUUGUUUUUGCCACUCUAGCUUUUGCCAAUUUUCCUUAUGCUACUCUACAUUUUGACAUUUCACUUUUUCCACUCUUAGCUUUUGACAAUUAUCACAAUUACCAUUUUGUGGCAAAAGCAAAAUAUUUUUAUUUCAGUUUUGCCACUCUUAAAUUUGACAAUGAAUCACAAUUGCCACUCUAAUUUUUUUGUUUAUGACACCAAAUGGCAAUAAUGAUAACUAUCAAAAGCUAAGAUUGGCAAAAGUGAAAUGUCAAAAUCUAAAAUGGCAUAAAGAAAAUUGGCAAAAGCAAAAAAAAAUCCCAAAACAUUUCCCCAAGAAUUGUUUGGAAAUUUAUUAAAAUGGAAAAAAUGGUGAACAUUUAUAUAUAAGGAUAAAUAAAUAAAACAACAAAUCCAAAUUACAAAAAAGCAUUUAUCGCUCAAUUAAUUUGACAAAAAGUACUCAACCAGUGUCAACAGUACAACCCAACAUAAGUGGGCUCAAUGCCAUAGCCAACAAGGAAAAGAAGGACGCAAAUCUUCAAUAAAGUGCAUUGCGUAGAAUAUAAGUAAAUCUUAAUAAUUAAUAGGGAAUGGCACAGUUAGAUGAGCCAGUUAUCGUCCUUCUAGUGCCGUAAGGCUCACACCAUUGGCAGAGUUUUCCAAAUCUUCUGUCGCGUCACUAGUUUCGUAAUUUAUUUGCGCGAAAUACGUAGGUUGCUUGGGAGCUGCACGAGGCGUGGCUUCACUGUCGAGCAUAGACACAACGGAUGACAUGUGAGGCCGAGCACUGGAGCUGUCCUGGACACACAAGAGCCCAACAUGGAUGCACUUGGACACUUCAUCAAGCGAGUAGCUCUCCAUUACGGCUGCGUCCACGAAAUCCUUCACUUUGCCAUCUGCCCACAAGUUCCAUGCCUGAAACAUCGUGGUGAGAUUUAAAAAUACUGCAUUUCUUGUUGAGUUAUCAGAAUUUGAAGUAUUUCGUAACACGGUACGUAACACUUACACAUGAUAUGAGAUUUGAAAAGUCCAUCACAAGGUGAUGAGGUGAGCUGAUCUUUAAUCCGCUUACAAUCUCUAGUAGCAAAAUACCAAAGCUGUAGGUGUCGGACUUGACGGAGAAAAUGCCCUCCAUCGCAUACUCAGGCGACAUGUACCCGCUGUUCGAUAAAUUUGGGCUAUUUCAGGCUUACAAAUUAAAUUUCAGACCAAGAGCUAGUGAAAGAAGUACUUACUACGUUCCAACAACUCGUCUGGUACUUUCUUGUUGCUCGUUGCCUCCAAAGAUCCUUGCCAUUCCAAAAUCUGAUAUUUUCGGAUUCAUCUGCACGUCUAGCAGGAUGUUGCUUGGUUUGAGGUCUCUAUGGAUUAUAGUCGUUCUCGAAUCUUGGUGGAGAUACAUAAGUCCUCUAGCUACCCCUUUGAUUAUGUUGAACCUUUUUGGCCAAUCAAGCAUAGACUUCCUUGCAAUAUCUGCCAAGAAUAGGGUGGGUACUUACAUAAGUGCAUAAGCCGUUCAGACAAGCAAGUGUGCUUGGUCAAUUCAUGAUUAAUUUCGAGAGUAUGGGAUUAUAAGUUUUAAAACAUACCAAAAAGAAACUGGUCCAGGCUUUUGUUGGGCAGGUAUUCAUAAAUAAGCAACUUCUCAUCCUCAUGAAUACAGCAACCAAGAAGUCUAACUAGAUUCUUGUGCUGCAGUUUGGCAAUAAGAACCACUUCGUUUCUAAAAUGCUCUAUCCCCUGAUCAGAACCCUUGCUAAGCCUUUUAACAGCAACUUCCUUUCCAUCUUCUAGUGUUCCCUGUGUGAUUUCAUAAUUAUAGAAACAAAUAAACAGGGACGGCAUUAUACAGAUUUUCUAAUCUUUAUCAAAAAUAAUAAUACAGAUUUUCCAGUGUUGUGACUAAUUGACAAGGUCAAAAAUUUAAACCUUAUAGACUUUGCCAAAACCUCCUUUUCCAAGUACGUUUGUGUCAUGGAAACUGUUUGUUGCAGUGGCAAUGUCUUGGAACCUAAUAGACCGGAAUUCCAAAUUUUGAUCCAAGUGUUCCAGGGCCGGUCUUUUCAGGGUUUCAUUUUUUACUUGUAUCCCUGCUGGAGAAAUAUCACUAACAUCAAUAUUCAACACUUUUACAUGAAAAUAUCAUAUUACAGUAAACUGGGGUCCCUUGUUUUACCUUUUGGCUUCCAUAUGCAGACGAGAUAUAUGCAUAUGAGUGUCAGCAGGACAAAUAUAACUGGGAGUGCGAUCUUGAAUACCACACCGACACCGCUCUUCGUGUUGUUUACUGCAGGACUGCGUUCUGCAAUGAAAUGAUGGGGAAAAAAAAAGUACUGCAUCAAGAUUCAAGCAUAGCAUCUGAGAGUAUGAAUUUAUCCUUUUCUCAACGAGUAUAAUAUAUGGAUUUACUUGCAGUUGCAUAUAACACCAAUGCACAUCAAUCAUAGUUUUAAAUAGUGUGCUAUCUCGGCGCUGUAGCGUUUGGAGGGACAUCACGCUAACGACAUCAAGCGCGCUACUGAGGCUGCCGCUAUUCGCCAUAUCUUGCUAUUUAAACCUUUGUUCUCAAUAUAAUUACAGAUUUAUUUUCAAAAGUAAGAAUUUGCAGACAGCAAAAGUAACUGGUUAGCUUGUCAGUUACAAAUGUGCACUGACAUAAUUCUGGAAUAAAUGCAACUGAUGAGUUUGUUCAGUGAUAACGACAUAGAACAUACCUUGAGAGCCAGCAAGCCGAAGGUACAGGUUGCCACCAAGCAUACCGGCCUUCUCAGAGUCAACAAGCUCCCCUGUCCAGAUCAAGCAUCUUGACGGGCCACCGGUUGCGACGAUACUGCUCAGGUUGGUGUAAGCAUACGCGGUGCAGGAGCAGUCACGCUCACAAUCAGCGGUGCACUCCUCGAAGCUUCUGUUCC